CCUACGGGUGGCAGCAGUGAGGAAUAUUGGUCAAUGGCCGGAAGGCUGAACCAGCCAAGCCGCGUGAAGGAAGAAGGUGCCAAGCAUUGUAAACUUCUUUUGUCAAGGGACAAAAUCAGGCUCGAGAGCCUGACCGAGGGUACUUGAAGAAAAAGCAUCGGCUAACUCCGUGCAAGCAGCCGCGGUAAUACGGAGGAUGCGAGCGUUAUCCGGAGUUAUUGGGUUUAAAGGGUGCGUAGGCGGACUGUUAAGUCAGCGGUAAAAGCCCGGGGCUCAACCCCGGCGAGCCGUUGAAACUGGCUGUCUAGAGAUGUCGAGAGGUAUGCGGAAUGCGCAGUGUAGCGGUGAAAUGCUUAGAUAUUGCGCAGAACUCCGAUUGCGAAGGCAGCAUACCGGCGGCGAUCUGACGCUGAGGCACGAAAGCGUGGGUAUCGAACAGGAUUAGAUACCCUAGUAGUC
This 459-nucleotide ribosomal RNA is filed under the name uncultured bacterium. Its description in RNAcentral is "partial 16S ribosomal RNA". It matches the Rfam family "Bacterial small subunit ribosomal RNA", at positions 338 to 795 of the family's 1533-position model. The record is from RNAcentral.